UGGGGAAUCUUAGACAAUGGGGGAAACCCUGAUCUAGCCAUGCCGCGUGAUCGAUGAAGGCCUUAGGGUUGUAAAGAUCUUUCAGUUGGGAAGAUAAUGACGGUACCAACAGAAGAAGCCCCGGCUAACUCCGUGCCAGCAGCCGCGGUAAUACGGAGGGGGCUAGCGUUAUUCGGAAUUACUGGGCGUAAAGCGCACGUAGGCGGACUGGAAAGUUGGGGGUGAAAGCCCAGGGCUCAACCCUGGAACUGCCCUCAAAACUCCCAGUCUUGAGGUCGAGAGAGGUGAGUGGAAUUCCGAGUGUAGAGGUGAAAUUCGUAGAUAUUCGGAGGAACACCAGUGGCGAAGGCGGCUCACUGGCUCGAUACUGACGCUGAGGUGCGAAAGCGUGGGGAGCAAACA
This 402-nucleotide ribosomal RNA is filed under the name uncultured Paracoccaceae bacterium. Its description in RNAcentral is "bacterial SSU rRNA". It matches the Rfam family "Bacterial small subunit ribosomal RNA", at positions 355 to 774 of the family's 1533-position model. The record is from RNAcentral. Lineage: Bacteria; Pseudomonadati; Pseudomonadota; Alphaproteobacteria; Rhodobacterales; Paracoccaceae.